CAGCCCAGCGUCGCCGAGCGAGCGCAGGACGGCUCCGAAGCUGAGACAGUAGCCUAGGGAUCCGCACGUGGACCCUCACAUAUUAAAUGACAUUAGCCCUGAGCUAACUACUGCCAAUCCUCCUCUUUUUGCUGAGGAAGACUAGGCCUGAGCUAACAGCUGUGCUCACCUUCCUCUACUUUAUACGUGGGACGCCUAUCACAGCAUGGCUUUUGCCAAGCGGUGCCAUGUCCACACCCUGGAUCCGAACCAGCGAAAUCCAGGCCGUGGAGAAGUGGAAGGUGUGCACUUAACCACUGCACCACCGGGCUGGCCCCCAAGUUGUAUUUUUUCUUGAAUUGCCUUUCAAUUGAUUUUCCUGUUUUGUCCAGGUAUAAAAUUAACGGUAUAUGUUAUCAAUAAUAAUAAAAUUAUUCCCUUCUGUCUUCUAUUUUCACUAUUUUCUUUCUGUUCUCUGAUUCAAUGGCUGCUAUCAUAAUGGGGUGAUCUCACUCUUCAUUCGCGCAGUGCAGACGUUUUUGUUAGAGACAUAGAUUUAAUUUUGUUAAAGAACACACACUUUCCUAUUUUAUUAGAAGUUUUAUAGAACCCAGAAAUUGAUUUUUAACUUUUCAAAUAACUUUGAGGAAUCUAUUGAAAUGAUCACGUUUUUCCUCCCUUGACCUAUGAAUGUGGUGAAUUAUUCCAGUAGAUAUUCUUAAAUUGCUUCACUUUUACAUUUUUGAAAUAAAUCCACCUGGAUAUGGUUUGUUAUUCUUUUAAUGUGUUGCUGAAUUCUAUUAUAUACACAUAUACACAGACACACACACACAUUCACAUGAGCGAGGUGGAGCUCUGGUUUUCUCCAUUGUACCUUCUCUGUCCUGUUUCUCAUGUUUCGCCAUCAAUGUUAUGCUGGAUUGGUUGAAGAAAUUUGGAAUAUAUCUUUCUCACUGUAUGCUCUGAAAUAACUUAGUGUUAAAGGCUUUCGUUCCCCGAAUACUUAAUAACAUUCAUCUCUCUGGGCCUGGAACAUCUUAAGAUGGUAACUGGAAAUUUCUCAAUUUCUUCUUAGGUAAUCGGUGUUUUUAGGUGGUCUAUCUCUUUAGUGGUUAAUUGGGUAAUUUAUUUUUUCUUAGAAAAUAAUUUUUUCCCUAAAUUCUCAAUUAUUUUCUGAGAGUGGAAAAAACUAUUGUUAUAGAAUUUCUCAUUUUCUUGGCAACAGCGGUAUGCAUCAUUUUUGAGUUGGGUGGUGCCUCUGGAUUGGGGAAACCCUAGGGGAUGGAGAGGAAGGGCAGGCUGAGCAGGUGGAGCCCUCCCCGCUCCAAUCUCUCCCACCUCCAUUCCGCCCCGGCCGCUGCCCCUCGUCCACGGAAGCAGACCCACUUUACAUUUGGAGUUUCAGCUUAAAGAUUUCACUGGGAAUUCGGUCACUAGAAUAAAAGCCUGAAAAAUCACUGAUCUAGAACUAUGAAGUUGAAAUAAUAUAUUUCAAAUAUAUUUGAAAUAAUAUAUACAUAUAACAACAUGAGAUUAUGCCUGGCCCCCAAAGGAGUUUAUCCAUUCUGAUCAUUUUCAUUUGGGGGAUUUUAGGAAUGGGUUCCUAUAUGAUAUAGCGCCAUAGCAAUAAUUGUUCAGAAAGACUGAUGACCUAGGUCAAUGAGAAAGUUCCCAUCUUGUCUCUUCUUGCUGUUAAUGCAUCUUGUUCUUUUUGAAAGCAUGGGGCAGGAGAAGGGUGACUGACUUUGAAAGGCAAGGAAUGUGAAGUUGGAGGGUGGGAGCAGAGGUAGCCACUGUUCCUAGAGAAAACAAAUCAUGCAAUUUCUAACUUAACAGUUACCUCAGGAUCAUGUAAUUUGUAAUAGAAAAGGACAUGGCUGCCAUUACUCAGGGGGAAAGGAAGUGAGUAGAGGACAGCUAACACGAAUGGGGCCUUUUUCAACUGUUUCUCUGCACCAGACUGAUGUCAGGCACCCUGGGGAAAUACAAUUAGCUUAGCAGUGUCAUCAUUAUUCCCAAGGUAUUUUCAGAAAUAUCACAUUCUUCCUAUUGCUGGAAUAGACUAGAUGAUGCUCUCGACAUAGUUUAGUACCUGCCAGCUGGGUAAUGCUGGGCGCUCUGGGCACAGGACGAAGGACUGGGGCUGUCUAGGCUGGAGGGAAACAGACUCAGGGACCAGAAGAAUUAUCGUCACAUGUCAGAAGGAGACAGAUUAGACACAUUUCAUGUAAAGGCAUGAAGCUGGAUCAGGACUGGGAGCAGCUCCUGGAGAGGAUAUUUUAGCACAAGGCAAGGAAGAAUUCGCUAGUAGGGCUGAAUGCGACAGCUCAAAUCUAGAAGUACUGAAUUCUUUGUCACUGGAGGUGUCCAAGCAGAUGCUGGCGACCGGGGCCA
Equus asinus (donkey) is the source of this 2373-nucleotide long non-coding RNA. The record is from Ensembl. Lineage: Eukaryota; Metazoa; Chordata; Mammalia; Perissodactyla; Equidae.